UGGGGGAAUAUUGGGCAAUGGGGGAAACCCGUGACCCAGCAACGCCGCGUGAAGGAAGAAGGCCCUCGGGUUGUAAACUUCUUUUACCAGGGACGAAGGACGUGACGGUACCUGGAGAAAAAAGCAACGGCUAACUACGUGCCAGCAGCCGCGGUAAUACGUAGGUUGCAAGCGUUGUCCGGAUUUACUGGGUGUAAAGGGCGUGUAGGCGGAGGUGCAAGUUGGGAGUGAAAUCCCGGGGCUCAACCCCGGAACUGCUUUCAAAACUGCAUCCCUUGAGUAUCGGAGAGGCAAGCGGAAUUCCUAGUGUAGCGGUGAAAUG
Molecule: ribosomal RNA, 322 nt
Filed under: uncultured Oscillibacter sp.
Lineage: Bacteria; Bacillati; Bacillota; Clostridia; Eubacteriales; Oscillospiraceae
Description: bacterial SSU rRNA
Rfam family: Bacterial small subunit ribosomal RNA
Source: RNAcentral